Molecule: ribosomal RNA, 228 nt
Filed under: uncultured bacterium
Lineage: Bacteria
Description: partial 16S ribosomal RNA
Rfam family: Bacterial small subunit ribosomal RNA
Source: RNAcentral
CCCAAAAAAGACAGUCUCAGUUCGGAUUGAAGGCUGAAAUUCGCCUUCAUGAAGCCGGAAUUGCUAGUAAUGGCAGGUCAGCAUACUGCCGUGAAUACGUUCCCGGGCCUUGUACACACCGCCCGUCACACCAUGAGAGUUGGGAAUACCCGAAGCCUGUGAGCUAACUUUUAGAGGCAGCAGUCGAAGGUAGAAUCAAUGAUUGGGGUGAAGUCGUAACAAGGUACC